This 1376-nucleotide long non-coding RNA is filed under the name Citrus maxima (pomelo). RNAcentral describes it as "long non-coding RNA (CMAX_LNC002212)". Lineage: Eukaryota; Viridiplantae; Streptophyta; Magnoliopsida; Sapindales; Rutaceae. The record is from RNAcentral.
CGAAUACGAUUCAUUUGCUACUUUUGCCACCCUAAUAAUCUUAUAUCUAUACCCCAAAAUGUAAUAAUAGCUUCAUCUCUUUCAUCAAACCAAACUUGAGCAUUUUAUUUUCACUUUUAUUCACUAAACACCGCAGCCAUUUGAAACACUCGAAGUUCUGAAGAAGAAGCUACUGCCAUUACAACAAAUCACCACCAAUUUCAAUUGAGAAAAGCUCAGGUAGUGGCAGAAGGGUGCUGUCGAGCGAGUAUCCCCGGCGGCCGGUGUCAGAGGCAGCUGGCAUUGACACGAGAAGAAGGUUAGUCUUCCAAAAAAGAAGAAUCCUUGCACUUUAGAAUCUGUGAUUGCAAUUGUUUAGAUUUUUAAGAAUGAAAAAUCUGACGGCUGGUAUUAUUAUUAUAUUUUAUAAAAAUGUAAAUGGGUUUGUUGAUGAUAUGUUAAAGAAUCUGACACAUGUUAAAUUAAGUGUUUUUGGGUUUAUUUUUAUGUGAAAAAAGAAAAUGGGUUUACUGAUUUGAAAGUUGUUUUGAUUACUUGUGCUCUUAUGCUAUGUGAACAAGCUGCUGUGUUACCAGUGCACGUAAUAAGAAAAUGCUGGUUUAGGCUAAAAUUUGGGACUUUAUCACUGUCGAAGCGUGCCAAUAUUGAUCUAUGUUGUUUGUUUAGAUCUAAUUUCCAUAUGUUUAAGCUAAAGAAACAAUUGCAUGUUAAAACUUACUGGUUUAUAUGUGAUUUUACUGUUUAAAAAACAUGGCUUUUAGGUUUUUUCCACUGUUCUUGAACCUGCAUGCAGUCCAUUUUGAUGUGAAAAACGAUGUUUUGAUCAUAUUGAUGUUAAAAAUAGCUGCAGGUCAUUUUGAUGUUAAAAUGUGUGUGUGUGUGUGUAUUUGGUCUUAAUAAAUCAACUUUUGGUUCACAGAACUUCCUUCAUUGGAUUUUUAUAAGCAUCAAAUGAUCAGGAAGUGCAACUGAUGUGAAAAAACAGGGCUUGAUAAUUACAAUGUCCUUGUUAUUCAGUAUUAAAAAUAUUUGUCAGAAUCAUCUCCUGGAAAAACCUCUAAUGGCAAUGCAGUUGCUUGCAGUAUGCCAUCUGAACAACCGCAGUUUGGUUCCGGUAGAAAUUGCAGUUGCCGAAAAAGUACUAGGAUGGUCCCAGUUUGUUGGCAAUAAAAGUAAAGCUACUGCUGUUCACUGAGACUAAAAAACUGGAGAGCGGCACAUUACUUGUAACUCAAGAUCAAACAUUAAGCAGAGAUAUCACGAAAGCUUGGAUACUUCAAUUUGUAACUUCUGCCAUAAAUUGUUGUCCAUCUCCUUUGCACUUUUGCCAAGAUUUCAAACUUUCAAAAGUACAUCUUCCUCCUUAAGUGUUUUUU